Amborella trichopoda is the source of this 5029-nucleotide non-coding RNA. NCBI's taxonomy places the organism in Eukaryota, Viridiplantae, Streptophyta, Magnoliopsida, Amborellales, Amborellaceae. The record is from RefSeq and is a predicted model, not a curated record.
GCUCCUUUCCUCACGAUUUUCCCAUUUCUCUCUCUGUUCUAUCUUCUCUGCUAUCCUUCGUUGCCAUUGAUUCCAUUCUGUUCAACGGUGGAUAAGGACGCGGCCUUUUUCCGUUAGUUGCAUCUCGCGUGCCAUUGAUGACGUGGAUUCUCCUGCCACGUCAUUUCCCGCCAUUCUCCCCCUUCUGUUUUUAACUUUGAAGCCCUAAACCUGCAUCUCUCUCUCUCUCUCUCUAAGGAAGAUGAACUCUCUCUCUCUCUAGAAGGAGCAGAUUUCUAAUCUCUAAUCUCUACGAAGGAGAAAGUGCAGAAGAAGAGAAGGGUGUCUCAGUAAAAACCCCAAUCCCCAGUACUGCAGUUUCUUAGGAAAAAGGAGAAAUGGGUGACUCGGAAACGGUUGUUAAGACCCCAAUAAGAGUUACUCGAUCUUCUUCUUCCUCAACAACAACAACAACAACAACAACCCCUAAACAAAACUCGCCUCAAAAGCCAAAACCUGGCUCUCGAUCUUUGAAGAAUACCAAAGCGUCAUUUUCAGAUUACCUUCUAUUCCCAAAACCCAUUACACUUGACCAGUUAUAUAGUAGUUAUCCCUGCCGAAAGGCUCAGAUCGAUGAACUGUUGCACCUAAUUGGACCCCCCAAUUCACCCAUGAAACCCAUUUUCAUCUAUGGCCGCCCUUCCUCGGCAAAAACCAGUGUCCUUUUACAUGUUUUCAAGCACCUGAACCGUCCUUUUGUUUACUCAAGCUGCAAAUCUUGCUACAAUCCUCGCCUCUUGUUUGAGUCGGUAUUGAACCAGGUGUUUUUCCAUGGAAAACAGAGUACCAACAAUUAUGCCAGUGCCAAAAGGUGUGAAAAGGCCUCAGAUUUCAUGAAUUUUCUUAGAGAAGCAUUGGUCCACACCAUUGCCACAAUUAGAGAGAACCAAAGACCCAAAGGGUCAAAGAAUUCUUUGAAUUGUGGGGCUGGGGAGAUGAUUUACUUGAUAUUUGACAAUGUCGAGAUGAUUCGGGAUUGGGAUAGUGGUUUGGCUCUGGUUUCCGUGCUGUUUAAGAUGGGCGAUCUUCUCAAGAUGCCAGAAUUGGGGUUGGUUUUUAUUAGCAGCGCCAGUUUAGACAGUUUUUAUGGGAAUACUGGAUUAAUGGAGCUAGUGCCCGUCUUCUUCCCGAGCUAUACAGAUGAGGAGCUGUAUCAGAUCUUCAUGAGAGGCCAACCAAACCCCAAGCUCUAUUCUUCUUUUCUUGGUGUUGUUUUGAAGACCUUAUGCCGGCUCACCAAAAGAGUAGAUGAAUUGUCGGUUGCCUUGGUGCCGUUAUUUCGGAAAUAUUGUGAGCCUCUGAGUGAUUUGAGAGUGAUUCCUGAUGAAGCAAUGAAGCGAAAAUUGUUCUCUUGCCUUCAACCCCACAUAAUGCCAUCUUUGAAUCAAGUUUUCAAGGUUGAAUCAGGAACGAUUGUUGAGACCAACAAGGAGAAGGAAAAAAGGAAGGGGAUUUUGAGAAAACAAGGCAGUGGGGAAACUGUUUAUGAGGUGGAUUUUCAGAUGUCUGACUCUGCAAAGUAUUUGCUUAUUUCGGCUUUCAUUGCUUCGAAAAACCCUGCCACUCUUGAUGCAGCAUUAUUUGAUUCAACUGGAGGGUCUGAUAAUAGAAAAAGGAAGAGAAAGAGUUCUGUGACUUCCAUUGAGAAGAAGGAUCAGGCUGCACAGGAAAUGCUACUAAAGGGGCCAGGGACUUUUCCAUUGGAGAGAUUGCUUGCUAUAUUUCAGUGCAUCACUUCAGUAACAGAUGGUCCUAUAGAGAGAGAGCAGGUUGAGGAUGGAUUGACUGAGGAAGUUGGAAGUUGUGGGCUCAUGUCUGAUGUUCUAUUGCAGUUAUCUACUCUUUGCAAUGCUAAUUUUAUUUGCAAAGGAGGAAGCUGCCCACUUGAAGGUUCAACUCGUUAUCGGGCCACAAUUGAUGAAGACAUGGUUAUGAAGAUUGCAAGGAGCGUGAACUUUCCUCUAGCAAAGUACCUUUACAGGCGAUAGUUUUGGGGCUGCAAAACUGAGGUUUGGACUGGAAGGGGGUUACUAGUUCUUGAGAGCUAAUUUUUAUGUGAUGAGGCCUAUGUGAAUGCUUGGAAGAAAUGGUUCAGAAGGCAUAAUGCAGCCAAGGAUGACUUGCCGACUAAACUCCCAGUUUUGCUGCUUAUCUCAAAGCAAAGGAAAGGUUUGGAACGAAGUUGGCAAGUUGUCUUUGGCUACAUAAUUACAUUCUGAUUUCUCAUGCCAGGUCCAUGAUGAAAACAAUGCACACACACCCCAUCAUGUAGCACCUCAAGGAAGAAAAUCAGCUUCUCUUCUUCAUUAAACAUGGUAAUCUUCUCCCUCUAUUUCCUAUCCACUCAUAUAAUAACUUCCACCAAAUGCAUUAUCGUAAUAGUUAAAUCUUGAUAUCAAAUCUUAAUAUUUUUUUUUUUUUUUUCUUUCUUUCAAAUGAUGGGUUGUUAUGAUGGGUUUCUAAUUGUUCAUAUCAUGUGUUUUUAUGAGCUAAUUCUAGAGCUAGUACUGCUUCUAUAGAUAUAAUCUUUGUUGGUCAUAGAGGUAUGCAUUAUUUAUCUUAGACAUUUUAAAAAUUGGGAUUUGGGGCUGAUUUCUUUCAUCUAAAAAUGAAUCUGAUGGGUUUGAUGCUGGUUUUCACCAAUUUUCUAAGAAAUGACUCUAAUUUGAAAUAGGAUUCUCUGAUCGGUAUGGUCGAGAAUGAUUGGUAUCGUGAUAUUUUCCGGCAAGUUGAUGUUAUGGGAUAUCAUGGGUGACUUUUUUUUAUCUUAAAAUUUGAGUUACUUUAUCAUAUACAUGUAAAGGAAGAAAUAUUUUGGGAGUCACUUAAGUUUUAUGAUAAGCAAGAAUAUGGAGAAAACUUAUAAGAUACAAUCAGAUGUUAAUAUAAAUAAAAAUAUGGAGAAAAAAUUAUGAGAUACUAUCAGAUGUUACUACAAAUAAACAUUUUUUUUUGUCAUGAUUUUAUAUGAGUAAAAAAGUAUUAGACAGAUAUCCCAUUAAGCUAAGCUUUCUUAAGAUCUUUUAGUGAGAUUUUAUGUGGUUUCUUGGUUUAUAUAUUUCUUCUAUUCUUCAUUAAUGAAACACUCAUUUAUUUAUCAGCCAUUUUUUUAAUGGAGAGGGGGACAGGGUAUGUAUUUUAUCUCAAUAAUGAGUGGUCUCUUUAUCAUUUAACCACAAUUAGUGCAGCAAGCAAUAUAAACUAAACAUGCAACCAUUCCAAUGUAAUAUGUACGUUACUAUAGGUUUUUGUGCACUAAUGAAACGCUACAAUUAUUUAAAUACAAUGCCUUUGAGUUGUUAAACUAAUUUUAAUCUAUAAUUUAUCAGAGCAACAAUCCCAAAAAACUAGACCUAUUAUUAUUAUUAUUGUUAUAAAAAAAUUAGUUUUUUUUUUUUUAUCUCAUUUUUCUACUCAUUUAACGCUCGUCUUUCAGGCUGCAUUUGUGACAUGGGCAUCUCUUAAAGGUUUAUACACGACUUUCAAUCCCCAAUUUCAUUUUCCAAUAUUGUGUGUGAUCUAUUCUAUAUUGGUUUCUUUAAAUGUAGACUGUACCACUUUAGGAAAAUGAUGCAUUUUGGGUGCAUAUUUUAUUUUGGAUCAUUGCCUUAAUUUAAUGCAUCCCCCAUUACAAUUUUGGUGCAAAGAUAAUGAUGUUGUUUUGUAUAUGUCAUUUGGGUUCAAAUUCUAAGAAUCCAUGGAUAUGUUAUCAUACCAAACGCAUGAGCAAUUUGUAAUUUUGUGAGAGUUUUGAAACCCUAAGUUGCUAUUAUGGCAUGCAAACAUGUGAAUAUUCAAGCAUGUAUGUAUACAUGCUCGUAUUCAUUCCUGGAAAAUUCAUAUUCAUUAAGAGAUAUUAUGGCUUCAUCUCUUGGAUUUAUCAAUAUAUAAUAUGAGUUCCAAAUGGUUCAAUACAUACCCUCUCCAUACACAUACAUACUUUCUUUCCAAACUGAAAAGGAGAUGAGUCUCUCUCUCUGUCUCAUUCCCCCUCUAUGAGAGAGAGAGAGAGCCAUGUGGCUAACAGUAGCAUUCUCCAAAGUGCUGUUUUUGAGGUUAAAUGGUUGUUAAAGCCUAAAAAAUGCAAGAAAAUAAAAACUCAUCAAAGUAAGUUUAUUUAGUACAUAUGUAACUGGUAAUAUGAUUCAAGUUUCACAUUUCCCUUAAUUGUAAAGCUUUAGAAAAGAAGAGAGUGAAAAAAGAUUUAUCACUGCUCUAGCCAUCACUCUUCAAUCUUAACUGCAUGAAUUGAAACUCUCAUUAUAAAUAAAAGAGAAGACCUAUUAUUGCUAUUUUUGUUUUCUUACUUUAAUUGUGUCAAUUUCCCAUGAGUUUCCCCUAUGUUAUGGACCCUAGCCUACUUUUGAACAUGAAAUAAUGGAUAUGAUAUAAUAGUUUUAGCUCGUCAACUCUAGUUGGUACCUUGAAGUGGGUGAAUAUCCUAUAAUGAAAAAAAUGACUUGGUUUUCUUCACUUAACUGUUUAAACAUAUUUGGGAACUAUACCAUUCUAUGAAAGUGGAAGCUGACUCACAAAUUCUUCCUCUCUUAGUUUCAUAAAAGUGGAAUAUGUACUUUUACCUAUCUUUAGUGACGAUUGUCUUUGAGAGUUGCACCCAAAAUAAUUAUAGAAAGAAACUUGGGGAAUAUUAUAGCAUGGAGUAAAGAAGAAGCCAAUAUGUCAUGGAGGUUAACUUCAAUUUUUCAUGAGAUUCGGGAUAUUCUACCUUCAUUGAAUGCGGAACUUCGCCACAAUUAUAAGGAGGCUAAUAUGGAAGCUGAUGCUUUAGUCAAGGGAGGUGUUAACCAUGCUUCGUUGGUGGUCACUUAUUUCCAGUGAUCUCUUUUGUUUCCUUUCAUCCUUUGUAAUUCUCUUUGAUUAAUGAAAAUUUUGCGUUAAUGUUAAAAAAAGAAAAGAAAAAAGAGUUGCACCCAAAGAGAGGUGUUAACCAUGCUUCGUUGGUGGUCACGUAUUUCUAGCGAUCUCUUUU